This 372-nucleotide ribosomal RNA is filed under the name uncultured Glomeromycotina. Its description in RNAcentral is "LSU rRNA". The record is from RNAcentral. Lineage: Eukaryota; Fungi; Glomeromycota.
UUGAAAGGGAAACGAUUGAAGUCAGUCGUACCUAUGGGUAAUCAGCCUUUUGGGUGUGAUUUUGUGGAGCGUGGGGAGUUAAACGCCUUCAUGCCUGCAUAUUCGUGCACUUUGGGUGUACUUGCCCGUGUGUAAGUUAACAUCAAUUUUGGUGGUCAUAAAAUGGCUGGAGGAAUGUAGCUUCGAUCUUGUAUUGAAGUGUUAUAGCCUUCGGUAGAUGUGACGAUCGGGAUUGAGGAUUGCAACGGAUACCCUUCGGGGCUACCUGUCUGAUCUCUGAUUGUUGCUCUGGUGCCGAAAGCUUGCUUACGGUUAUCAAAGUCGAUGGUCAAUAGGUUAGAACGGGUUAAAUUCGUUAAGGAUGUUGACGUA